UAGCGUUACAAUUCAAUAGCCUGCCAA
Molecule: small RNA, 27 nt
Filed under: Bombyx mori (domestic silkworm)
Lineage: Eukaryota; Metazoa; Arthropoda; Insecta; Lepidoptera; Bombycidae
Description: ovarian small RNA-6371
Source: RNAcentral